CACUAGCAGUGAAUAGAGGUUCUCUUUGUGAGGGUACUUUCCAACUAAUUCUUUUCAGUUUUAGUCUAUGCAGGAGCGUACCACAGAGCACAUCACUGGAAAAAUCUCUCUACAAAAGUGUAAUCGGUGUAAACCAGUGUGCAGCAUAUUAAUGGGAUACCUACAGCGGCUUCUAACAAGUGGUGCAGACCUAAGGUGCAGAAUGAAGAUGGUCUUCACUGCUGACUCUGCUCCAACUUAAUGCAAAGCCCAUUGGCACUACUGUAGGUAAGAAGUCAUGAUUGUUCCACUCUAAUCUGACCUUGUAAGGCCCUGUCUGGAGUAUUGCAUCUGAGUCUGGGGCCCCCAACACAGG
Molecule: long non-coding RNA, 355 nt
Filed under: Gallus gallus (chicken)
Lineage: Eukaryota; Metazoa; Chordata; Aves; Galliformes; Phasianidae
Description: lncRNA (ENSGALG00010013608.1)
Source: RNAcentral